GACCAGUGAGAAUUGACUAUUUGUUUAUUUUUACUUUUUAUAAACAAUAGGGCCGUUCUAUAUUUCUUUAGCAACGUGGAGAACUAGUUUUUAUGGCAUUACCAAGUAAUUAGAGGAAAGGUAGGUUCUAUCUUUUAACUGAGAAAUAUUCUAUUAUUUUUACUAGCUUAAUUUCUUAAAUUCAAAUCUCAACUAUCUUGUGUGUUGCACCCAUUUGCAUUCCAUUCGGUGUGGCAG
This 237-nucleotide long non-coding RNA is filed under the name Elaeis guineensis (African oil palm). Its description in RNAcentral is "long non-coding RNA (EGUI_LNC019242)". Lineage: Eukaryota; Viridiplantae; Streptophyta; Magnoliopsida; Arecales; Arecaceae. The record is from RNAcentral.